UACGUAGGUGGCAAGCGUUAUCCGGAUUUAUUGGGCGUAAAGGGAACGCAGGCGGUCUUUUAAGUGAGAUGUGGAAUACUCGGGCUCAACUUGAGUGCUGCAUUUCAAACUGGAAGUCUAGAGUGCAGGAGAGGAGAAUGGAAUUCCUAGUGUAGCGGUGAAAUGCGUAGAGAUUAGGAAGAACACCAGUGGCGAAGGCGAUUCUCUGGACUGUAACUGACGCUGAGGCUCGAAAGCGUGGGGAGCAAACAGG
RNAcentral lists this ribosomal RNA (253 nucleotides) under uncultured bacterium. Its description in RNAcentral is "partial 16S ribosomal RNA". It matches the Rfam family "Bacterial small subunit ribosomal RNA", at positions 524 to 776 of the family's 1533-position model. The record is from RNAcentral.